GAUGAACGCUAGCUACAGGCUUAACACAUGCAAGUCGAGGGGCAGCGACAGUGUACGCAAUACAUGGGUGGCGACCGGCGCACGGGUGAGUAACACGUAUCCAACCUGGUCCCAUACUACGGGGAUAGCCUUUCGAAAGAAAGAUUAAUACCCGAUGGUACUCAGAUUAAGGCUAUCUUAGAUUUGAUUAAAGAAUUCGGUAUGGGGUGGGAUGCGUUCCAUUAG
RNAcentral lists this ribosomal RNA (225 nucleotides) under uncultured bacterium. Its description in RNAcentral is "partial 16S ribosomal RNA". It matches the Rfam family "Bacterial small subunit ribosomal RNA", at positions 28 to 244 of the family's 1533-position model. The record is from RNAcentral.